AUAUGUUAGGUACUUACAGUAAUAAGAAAGGAUAAGGGUUAAGGGAUAUGCUUAGAGGUCUUUUUGUUGAUUUCACAGAAUUCUUGUUCUAAGACCAACAAAAGAUAGGAAACACAGUAAGCCACAAUUAAUGUACACAAGGCUUUAGAUAUACUGGUAGAGUUUAAACUGAUUAUUGAGCAAGACCUCUGUUGCAAACAGAGUGGAUGUUUUGGAACUGCUGUAGAUGUGCAUCUGUGACCAGUCAGGGACAUUCACUCAUUACUUUUGUCCUGCUAUCGAUCUUUGCAUGGCAUUGUGCCGGCUGUCCUUUUGCAAGGAUCAGGUCUGAAGGUGUGGCUAUAACCUUCUCUUCCUGUUUCUAAAAAAAUCUUUUGUCUUUUUUCCCCCUCCAGCCCCCCUCUCUACAGACUACACUCAAAGCAACAUGAUGAAGACAACACUGGACCAGAGGAAGACACUAAACAAACUGAAAGUACUAUACUUAAAGACAGUAAUGGUGAUGGCCAACCUUCGGAAAGCGCUGCAUAGAUCUGGUCUGCUGCUCACAUGCACUGAAAAGUGCCUCUGUUUACCUCUCAUCUACCCUAAUACUGAUUCACUUUGGUUUCUCCAUAGCCUACAAUGGGACUAAAGUUCAUCACCACUGGUCUACAUACACAGUGUGUUUUAGAGUAUUUUUCUGCAGCUGCGUGGCACUUGUAUUUAUUUAGAUCUCACAUGUCUUAAUGAACAACCCCUCCAAGAAAAUGAAGUAAUAUAUUGUGAAAAAGAAAUGAGAGUCUUUAUCUAAUGUUUAUUUUGUUUGGUUAGAGUGUCUGCUUCAUGAUUUAUUUUGCCUUGAAUUUGCUUGAGUGAACGGUGUAGCUCAGCUUUACUGUAGUUUGCAGUUAAGGAAAUAGAGUAUUUAUCUUUCUCUCCUUUGUUUCUUUAUGAGCUGGUGAACUUCUGUUAACCAGAGGAAGUUAAUUUGAAAGGCAGCAUUUUAAUUCUAAACCACUUUAUGAUUCAGUUUAUUUUCUUGGGGGUGCUUCAUUUUUGGGCCUUAAAUGACAUUUUUACCCCUUAAUUUAAGAUAAUAAUUUAGUAUUAUAUAUUUUCUGCCAAAAUUAAUUAUUGAUGGGAGUCUAAUAAUUUUGUGGAUAAGUGUGGUGUGUGCAUGUGUAGUGUGUGUGUGUGUGUGUGUGUAUGUGUGUGUCCUCCCCUCUUUUUCUAUGCAUUAAAUAAGAAUUUUAUUAUGUUUAUUAUGUCUGUUCAGUGGUUUAUGCAGUAAGAGCAAAAUUAUAUAUAAAAGCAAUAUAUGAAAGAAAGAGUUUUGCAUUGGUUUUAUUGUAAAUAAAAGAUGCUGC
Long non-coding RNA from Cyprinus carpio carpio, 1349 nucleotides. The record is from Ensembl. Lineage: Eukaryota; Metazoa; Chordata; Actinopteri; Cypriniformes; Cyprinidae.